UACGUAGGGGGCAAGCGUUGUCCGGAGUUAUUGGGCGUAAAGAGCUCGUAGGUGGUUCGGUAAGUCGGAUGUGAAAUCUCCAGGCUCAACCUGGAGGGGUCAUUCGAUACUGCCGUGACUAGAGUUCGGUAGGGGAGUGUGGAAUUCCUGGUGGAGCGGUGAAAUGCGCAGAUAUCAGGAGGAACACCCGUAGCGAAGGCGGCACUCUGGGCCGAUACUGACACUGAGGAGCGAAAGCGUGGGGAGCGAACAGG
Molecule: ribosomal RNA, 254 nt
Filed under: uncultured bacterium
Lineage: Bacteria
Description: partial 16S ribosomal RNA
Rfam family: Bacterial small subunit ribosomal RNA
Source: RNAcentral